Molecule: transfer RNA, 72 nt
Filed under: Ipomoea nil (Japanese morning glory)
Lineage: Eukaryota; Viridiplantae; Streptophyta; Magnoliopsida; Solanales; Convolvulaceae
Rfam family: tRNA
About the family: Transfer RNA (tRNA) molecules are approximately 80 nucleotides in length.
Source: Rfam by way of RNAcentral
GGUUAUUUGGUCUAGUGGUAUGAUUCUCGCUUUGGGUGUGAGAGGUCUUGAGUUCAAUUCUCAGAAUACUCU